AUAAAAAAUAGUGAGUUUGAAGUUUCUGUUCGUUGGUCGAGCAGAAACUCUGGAAGAAGGGGGUGACGGUUCCACCCCAGAUGAGCGGAUAAGGGGAUCGAGGCUUCUCGAUUCUGUGCUGCAUGGAUGGUCAGUGAUUCAUUCAGGUGUAUCGAUGUGCCUCUUCAAGGUGUGCCAUAGUCCCAACGCAAACGCUUACGAGCCACAUCAAGUUGCCCCGUAAUAUUCUCAAUAGUACAGUCCAAAAUAUAUAAGCUGUGGAAUAAAAUUAUUUUUCAGAUUUUUACUCAAGUUCUUCAGAUUUUUAGUCAAGUUCUUCAGGUAUGUAAAUUUCGAAGAAAAAAUGGCGCAUUCGCAAUGCAAAUGUUAGAGCACGUGGCUGCACAAUAUUCUCAAU
Molecule: unclassified non-coding RNA, 397 nt
Filed under: Bombus terrestris (buff-tailed bumblebee)
Lineage: Eukaryota; Metazoa; Arthropoda; Insecta; Hymenoptera; Apidae
Description: misc RNA ENSBTSG00005032460.1
Source: RNAcentral